This 906-nucleotide ribosomal RNA is filed under the name uncultured bacterium. RNAcentral's name for it is "bacterial SSU rRNA". It matches the Rfam family "Bacterial small subunit ribosomal RNA", at positions 478 to 1383 of the family's 1533-position model. The record is from RNAcentral.
CCCGAAGAAAAAGCAUCGGCUAACUCCGUGCCAGCAGCCGCGGUAAUACGGAGGAUGCGAGCGUUAUCCGGAUUUAUUGGGUUUAAAGGGUGCGCAGGCGGCGCGCCAAGUCAGCGGUCAAAGUUCCGGGCUCAACCCGGUGUCGCCGUUGAAACUGGCGUGCUCGAGUGCGUGCGAGGAAGGCGGAAUGCGUUGUGUAGCGGUGAAAUGCAUAGAUAUGACGCAGAACUCCGAUUGCGAAGGCAGCUUUCCAGCGCGCUACUGACGCUGAGGCACGAAAGCGUGGGGAUCGAACAGGAUUAGAUACCCUGGUAGUCCACGCAGUAAACGAUGACUACUAGCUUUCCGGGAUGAUUGAGUCCUGGGAGGCACAGCGAAAGCGUUAAGUAGUCCACCUGGGGAGUACGCCGGCAACGGUGAAACUCAAAGGAAUUGACGGGGGCCCGCACAAGCGGAGGAACAUGUGGUUUAAUUCGAUGAUACGCGAGGAACCUUACCCGGGCUCAAACGACAGUGGACAGCUCCUGAAAGGGCGUCUCCGGCAACGGCCGCUGUCGAGGUGCUGCAUGGUUGUCGUCAGCUCGUGCCGUGAGGUGUCGGCUUAAGUGCCAUAACGAGCGCAACCCCCAUCUCCAGUUGCCACCGGGUCGUGCCGGGCACUCUGGAGGGACUGCCAGCGCAAGCUGCGAGGAAGGCGGGGAUGACGUCAAAUCAGCACGGCCCUUACGUCCGGGGCGACACACGUGUUACAAUGGCGGAGAACAGAGGGGAGCCACGUGGCGACACGGAGCCGAUCCCGAAAAUCCGUCUCAGUUCGGAUUGGAGUCUGCAACCCGACUCCAUGAAGCUGGAUUCGCUAGUAAUCGCGCAUCAGCCAUGGCGCGGUGAAUACGUUCCCGGGCCUUG